Molecule: ribosomal RNA, 476 nt
Filed under: Trigomphus melampus
Lineage: Eukaryota; Metazoa; Arthropoda; Insecta; Odonata; Gomphidae
Description: partial 16S ribosomal RNA
Rfam family: Bacterial large subunit ribosomal RNA
Source: RNAcentral
UUUAACGGCCGCGGUAUUUUGACCGUGCAAAGGUAGCAUAAUCAUUAGUCUUUUAAUAGGAGGCUGGAAUGAAGGGUUUGACGAGGUAUUGACUGUCUCAUUUAAUUUGAAAUUAAAAUUUAACUUUUCAGUUAAAAGGCUGAAAUUGUAUUGGAAGACGAGAAGACCCUAUAGAGCUUUAUAUUUAAAAUUAUAAUAAAUUUUUGUUUAUUAUUAUUUCUUAUUAUUUUAAUUAUUUUGUUGGGGUGACAAAAAUAUAUAAAUAACUUUUUUAUUUAAAUAACAUUGAUUUAUGAUUAUUAGAUCCAGUCUUAUUGAUUGUUAGAUUAAGUUACCUUAGGGAUAACAGCGUAAUCUUCCUUCAGAGUUCAUAUUUACAGGAAGGAUUGCGACCUCGAUGUUGGAUUAAGAUAAUAGUUAGGUGUAGCCGCUUAAUGUAUAGGUCUGUUCGACCUUUAAAUUCUUACAUGAUCUGA